RNAcentral lists this ribosomal RNA (782 nucleotides) under uncultured bacterium. RNAcentral describes it as "bacterial SSU rRNA". It matches the Rfam family "Bacterial small subunit ribosomal RNA", at positions 59 to 840 of the family's 1533-position model. The record is from RNAcentral.
CAGUCGACGAAGCACUUUAUUUGAUUUCCUUCGGGACUGAUUAUUUUGUGACCGAUUAGCGGACGGGUGAGUAACGCGUGGGUAACCUGCCUUAUACAGGGGGAUAACAGUUGGAAACGGCUGCUAAUACCGCAUAAGCGCACAGCAUCGCAUGAUGCAGUGUGAAAAACUCCGGUGGUAUAAGAUGGACCCGCGUUGGAUUAGCUAGUUGGUGAGGUAACGGCCCACCAAGGCGACGAUCCAUAGCCGACCUGAGAGGGUGACCGGCCACAUUGGGACUGAGACACGGCCCAAACUCCUACGGGAGGCAGCAGUGGGGAAUAUUGCACAAUGGGCGAAAGCCUGAUGCAGCGACGCCGCGUGAGCGAAGAAGUAUUUCGGUAUGUAAAGCUCUAUCAGCAGGGAAGAUAAUGACGGUACCUGACUAAGAAGCACCGGCUAAAUACGUGCCAGCAGCCGCGGUAAUACGUAUGGUGCAAGCGUUAUCCGGAUUUACUGGGUGUAAAGGGAGCGCAGGCGGUGCGGCAAGUCUGAUGUGAAAGCCCGGGGCUCAACCCCGGUACUGCAUUGGAAACUGUCGUACUAGAGUGUCGGAGGGGUAAGCGGAAUUCCUAGUGUAGCGGUGAAAUGCGUAGAUAUUAGGAGGAACACCAGUGGCGAAGGCGGCUUACUGGACGAUAACUGACGCUGAGGCUCGAAAGCGUGGGGAGCAAACAGGAUUAGAUACCCUGGUAGUCCACGCCGUANACGAUGAAUACUAGGUGUUGGGAAGCAUUGCUUCU